UCUGGCGGCAGUAGCGCGGUGGUCCCACCUGACCCCAUGACGAACUCAGAAGUGAAACGCCGUAGCGCCGAUGGUAGUGUGGGGUCUCCCCAUGCGAGAGUAGGGAACUGCCAGAC
Molecule: ribosomal RNA, 116 nt
Filed under: Escherichia coli
Lineage: Bacteria; Pseudomonadati; Pseudomonadota; Gammaproteobacteria; Enterobacterales; Enterobacteriaceae
Source: RNAcentral